This is a non-coding RNA of Cinara cedri, 223 nucleotides long. NCBI's taxonomy places the organism in Eukaryota, Metazoa, Arthropoda, Insecta, Hemiptera, Aphididae. The record is from the annotation of a GenBank genome assembly.
AAACAUAAAACGAAUGAACGGGUCAUAUUCUUAGACACGGAGGGUUACUAGGGUUAAUUUUGGAAGAGAUGGUAGAUGGAUAAUACCCCCGAGGAUGACAAUACAUGAGCCAGAUUAUACAAGAUCAAGAAUGUAAUUUAUAGCAAGAAUUGAAGAGGAAGGCUAGCUUUAGAUAAACAUUGGCGUCGUUACAAACUUAUCAUUAGAUUGAAGAUGGCAAAAG